Molecule: ribosomal RNA, 497 nt
Filed under: uncultured bacterium
Lineage: Bacteria
Description: partial 16S ribosomal RNA
Rfam family: Bacterial small subunit ribosomal RNA
Source: RNAcentral
GAUGAACGCUGGCGGCGUGCCUAAUACAUGCAAGUCGAGCGAACAGACGAGGAGCUUGCUCCUCUGACGUUAGCGGCGGACGGGUGAGUAACACGUGGAUAACCUACCUAUAAGACUGGGAUAACUUCGGGAAACCGGAGCUAAUACCGGAUAAUAUAUUGAACCGCAUGGUUCAAUAGUGAAAGACGGUUUUGCUGUCACUUAUAGAUGGAUCCGCGCCGCAUUAGCUAGUUGGUAAGGUAACGGCUUACCAAGGCGACGAUGCGUAGCCGACCUGAGAGGGUGAUCGGCCACACUGGAACUGAGACACGGUCCAGACUCCUACGGGAGGCAGCAGUAGGGAAUCUUCCGCAAUGGGCGAAAGCUUGACGGAGCAACGCCGCGUGAGUGAUGAAGGUCUUCGGAUCGUAAAACUCUGUUAUUAGGGAGGAACAAAUGUGUAAGUAACUAUGCACGUCUUGACGGUACCUAAUCAGAAAGCCACGGCUAACUACGUG